RNAcentral lists this long non-coding RNA (1939 nucleotides) under Hordeum vulgare. RNAcentral's name for it is "long non-coding RNA (HVUL_LNC008117)". The record is from RNAcentral. Lineage: Eukaryota; Viridiplantae; Streptophyta; Magnoliopsida; Poales; Poaceae.
ACAUCAAAUCCUUUUUUUGGAAUUAUGAAGCAAAAAUAGGAAAGGUUGCAGGCGAAGAACAACCUGAACCUGAUAUUGAUCCACCUCUAGUACAUUCGAAUACAACGAUUGUCAUUGAUAUUGAUCCACCUUCAGUCCAUUCUGAUCUAGAGAUUGACAUUGUUAUUGAUCCACGUCCAAUACAUUUCGGUCGAGAGAUUGUCAUUGACAUUGACGAUGAAACCCCCAAAAAUGAAAAGCAAAAAUAAACCAUAAACCGUAAACCCUAAAACCAUAAAACCCUACCCCCCCCACCCACCCCCCUGAAAACACAAAAUCUUUAAUUCCGAUUGAUGACACCAACCGGGACUAAAGGUCCUCCAUCCCCUGCCGCACGCUCGUGGUCACGUGGAGGGACUUUAGUCCCGGGUUGUGAUGAAAGUCCCGGUUGGCGACCCAUGAUUAAAUCCCUUUCCCAACCGAGAUUAAAUUUCCGUUCUCCACUAGUGAGGGUCUGUCCGUGAAACGAGGGAAGUUGAGCAACCGCCCCGCUUGCGCAUGGUAGAGUCCCUGGUAUACAAUGAAAUACCAGGCUUGGCUCGGAGUGCUCGUCUUGACGCGCACUUAUCCUACCAAGACUUAGUGCCUGUUCAGAAGUCCACCAGCUCUCAAAAACAUGAGAAUCUGCAGAGCGUCAAUUUCUCUGCUCCGUUAUCUGCAACUGCAGCUCCGUCCGCUCCGGAAGCAGAGUGGAGAGCCUCCAAACAGGCCCCUAAAAAACACAUUCUUUAUACAGCAUUAUGUGUGGAUUAACAUGAACCAUAAUAUUACGAUAUAUGUUUCGUGCAGCACAUGAUGGAUCCAUAAUUCAUAACAACAAUGAUAAAUACGGGGGACAGAGUCAUCUGAAAACCAUCUCACAAAGCGGUAGUACAUUUCUAUAAUAAGACGCCAUUAGGGAUCUGAAGCAAGGAUAGGUAAUGUGUCUACCAACCUUCUGCUGAGCCCUUGCUCACCUUUAUGAUGCACACUACCUGUGUAAUAGUAUUGCUGGCAGACAUAUCUUUCUUCUUUAGCCCUUUACAUAUACCUAGCUCUGCUAACUAGGAGAGGACACACGAGUGGAUGUUGGUUUGCAGGAAAAGAUUUGUAGAACAUCAAAUACACAAACAAGUGGCAUCAAUUUGGAGUUGGAUGUGUGUUGUGUGUUGGGAAUGAGGGGCAUGCGGAACACGUCCUAUGUUCUAGCUUGCAUGAGACUUGCUCCACUUCCAAUAGUAUGUAACGUAAGCAACAAUGAAGCGCGUGACAGGGUUGCCUGUAGAGGAGGCCGACACUGACUAGCUGGUGGAGGGAGCUUUGCAGAAGAAUCUCAACAUGUACAGGCUCAAGAGAUUGAAGAAAGAUCUGACGAAUAAGUGUCCGGAGCGCCAUUUGCCACAGAGUGAAAAAGUGGCUCAACACAUGACAGCAAAACACCUCCACGGCAGCUUGACAUAUUACACGACACACCUCCACGGCUAUUGCAAGAUGCUACGAAAGGAUGACAUUCAGAGCACACCUGCAUGUAUUGCAAUAUAUGGCUUGACAGUAGGUACAGAGGGAUUACAUGCUACGUGAUAUCCGUGGCGUCCUUUAGGGCAACACAACGUUAAUGUGAUUGUGUUAGAUACGACGGGUGAGUAAAAUUUCUUAUACGAAAUUUACAUCUACUGGACAACGCGACUUAUCAAUUCACAUUAAUAUGAAUAUGAAUUUACAGAAACAUCAUUGUCUAGAAAAAAUGAAACAAAAUCAAUAAUGAGAAAAUAGAUCACAACAGACAGUCAUGUCCAUAAGUCCAUUGCGGUUGAGCCUACCAGACAACUCAAGCUGCAAAGUUCGGUUGAAAAUCAAAAUCAAUAGUUCGGUUGAACACCAGACGACCAAUACGGCAGGGGACGGUGGCCACACAUACAAG